UCUUUGAUGGUCUAGCGGUCAUGAUUUCCGCUUGUCACGCGGGAGACCGGGGUUCGACUCCCCGUCAGAGAG
This 72-nucleotide transfer RNA is filed under the name Blumeria hordei DH14. RNAcentral describes it as "tRNA-Asp (GTC) (tRNA-Asp-GTC-2 1 to 13)". It matches the Rfam family "tRNA". Rfam says of the family: Transfer RNA (tRNA) molecules are approximately 80 nucleotides in length. Their secondary structure includes four short double-helical elements and three loops (D, anti-codon, and T loops). The record is from RNAcentral. Lineage: Eukaryota; Fungi; Ascomycota; Leotiomycetes; Helotiales; Erysiphaceae.